AACUAACGCUGGCGGCGUGCCUAAUACAUGCAAGUCGAGCGGGGUUGUCGGAGUGGAGUCCUUCGGGAUGAAGCACCGUCAACCUAGCGGCGGACGGGUGAGUAACGCGUGGGUAACCUGCCCUAAAGCCCGGGAUAACACCGGGAAACUGGUGCUAACACCGGAUACCUUCCGAAGAGGGCAUCCUUUUUGGAAGAAAGGUUAACGCUUUAGGAUGGGCCCGCGUCCCAUUAGCUAGUUGGUGAGGUAACGGCUCACCAAGGCAGUGAUGGGUAGCCGGCCUGAGAGGGUGAUCGGCCACACUGGAAUUGAGAGACGGUCCAGACUCCUACGGGAGGCAGCAGUGGGGAAUAUUGGGCAAUGGGCGAAAGCCUGACCCAGCAACGCCGCGUGAGGGAAGAAGGUUCUCGGAUUGUAAACCUCUGUCCCAAGAGAAGAGGGAAAGACGGUAUCUUGGGAGGAAGCCCCGGCUAACUACGUG
Molecule: ribosomal RNA, 481 nt
Filed under: uncultured bacterium
Lineage: Bacteria
Description: bacterial SSU rRNA
Rfam family: Bacterial small subunit ribosomal RNA
Source: RNAcentral